GAUGAACGCUAGCUACAGGCUUAACACAUGCAAGUCGAGGGGGAAACGAUAGAGAAAGCUUGCUUUUUCUAGGCGUCGACCGGCGCACGGGUGAGUAACGCGUAUCCAACCUGCCCAUCACUUGGGGAUAACCUUGCGAAAGUAAGACUAAUACCCAAUGAUAUCUCUAGAAGACAUCUGAAAGAGAUUAAAGAUUUAUCGGUGAUGGAUGGGGAUGCGUCUGAUUAGCUUGUUGGCGGGGGUAACGGGCCCACCAAGGCGACGAUCAGUAGGGGUUCUGAGAGGAAGGUCCCCCACAUUGGAACUGAGACACGGUCAAACUCCUACGGGAGGCAGCAGUGAGGAAUAUGGUCAAUGGACGAGAGUCUGAACCAGCCAAGUAGCGUGCAGGAUGACGGCCCUAUGGGUUGUAAACUGCUUUUAUAAGGG
This 429-nucleotide ribosomal RNA is filed under the name uncultured bacterium. Its description in RNAcentral is "bacterial SSU rRNA". It matches the Rfam family "Bacterial small subunit ribosomal RNA", at positions 28 to 444 of the family's 1533-position model. The record is from RNAcentral.